Molecule: ribosomal RNA, 189 nt
Filed under: uncultured bacterium
Lineage: Bacteria
Description: partial 16S ribosomal RNA
Rfam family: Bacterial small subunit ribosomal RNA
Source: RNAcentral
CCUACGGGAGGCAGCAGUAAGGAAUAUUGGUCAAUGGGCGGAAGCCUGAACCAGCCAUGCCGCGUGCAGGAAGACGGCCCUACGGGUUGUAAACUGCUUUUGCAGGGGAAUAAACCUCAUUACGUGUAAUGAGCUGAAUGUACUCUGAGAAUAAGAAUCGGCUAACUCCGUGCCAGCAGCCGCGGUAAU